This is a long non-coding RNA of Octopus bimaculoides (California two-spot octopus), 4485 nucleotides long. RefSeq lists it as uncharacterized. Lineage: Eukaryota; Metazoa; Mollusca; Cephalopoda; Octopoda; Octopodidae. The record is from RefSeq and is a predicted model, not a curated record.
AAGAAUCCAUCUAUACUGAAAUAAGCUUUAAAAAUGACAUACGGUCAUUACUUGCGUGAUAAACUUCAAUCAUGUUCUUCAGCUAUGUAUUUAUGUUUGUAAGUGUGAAGGUGGGUUUCUUACCAAAUGCCAACAAAACUGAAAUGAGGUUUUCAAUCAAGAUUUAAUAUGUUAAAAAGAAAUAGAUUUAACUUGUAAUUAUAUCUUUAAUUUUCAUUUUGAAUGAUUUUUCUCUUGUAAUGGAGAAAGUUAUUGAGAAAUUAGAAUCUUAUCAAAUGAGCUUCAAUAGUAUCAACAAACUUUGUUGGAAGGCAACGUCCAGAGUAGCUGGCCCGAAACGCAGAUUAACAUAUGUAAAAUACGCGAACAUCUAAUUUUUAUAAUCUAAAGAAUAUAUUUGUUGAUAAGAGAAAAUAGAAAAUAGUAUAAGCUUUGCAGAAUUUCAUUCUCCAACAUUUAUGCGCGUGCGCAUUCAAUCCAUGACCCAAAUUUUGUAGCUCCAUUGGCUAGUUUGCUUGUGACCAACAGUGAAACUUUACCAUCUUUAAUCUCAAGUCAUCUUCUCUAUACCAGAGAAAAUUUUGCAGUACAUAAGAACAUGAACAGUUUCCUGAACCAGUCAAGUAAAAGAGAUUUGAAAAAACAUUAAUAGCAGAACAAAAGAAGAUUCCUUUAGGAAACCAUUUUACAACAUUUACAAUUCACAAGUCUCUAUUAGUCAAGAUGCUUCAAGAAGAGCUGGACUAAGCUUUUGAAUGAUAUCAUCCCUCUGGCUAGGUGAGUAGGCCAACAUUUGGCCCAAUCAGAAGACCACUCUGUUACAGGGUUACCCAUUUACACGAACAAGGUUCUAGCAAUAUUGUGAUGAUGAAGAGAAACUUGAAAACAAAUGGAAUGAGGAGAAUGGGAGAAAGACAGCAACGAAAAUGGAAGUAAAUUGUAUUUGUUGUAAAUAAUUGAAUUUUUAAAUAAGGAAACAUAAUCUAUAAUUUACACACAUAUAUGCAUACAUAAGUACAUACAUUACAUAGAAAGAGACAUACACAUAUAUAUGCAUAUAUACAUUAUAUACAUACAUUACAUACAUAUAUACAUUCAUUACAUAUAUACAUUACAUACAUACCCUUUAAAAUUCUAUUUAAAACAAAAUAUUUCAUUGUUUCUGUGCAGUGUUUGUCCAAACCAUGUUUAAUUUUAACUGGAAGUUUAUUUCUUGUUUCAGGUGAAAGUUAAGUGUUAAUGUCUGACAAGAAGAAACACAUUGCCGAUAACAGUGCUGGUUUUUAUACUUCCAAUGGAAAGGGUAGUGGGUAGGUGUAUGAAUUCCCCACUUAUUCCUGGGGACCAUCCUUCUAUGAACAUCCUAUGUAUACUCAAGCCCAUAAGCAUCACGCAUUUACACUUCCAUACAAAAGUAUUAUGUUGUUGCUAGAACAAAACAGUGGCUGGCAGAAAUGGCAGAGCACCAGACACAUGUCUUUUUAAAUGUUUUAGGGAGAAAACAAAGGGGAGCCCCUUUGACCAUCUUCAGAGAGACUGAGGGAGAAGAAAGGUUAAAGACCUGACCUAAAUGCUUGCAAAAGAGCAGAAUCUGCAAAAGGUACCUGAUGACCAGUUAGGGUUGUUAAAAGAGACAGGUUAAGCUGACCAUCAAGAAUAAAAAUAGCACCUUCAUUCAAGUUCCACAGUUUCUCUCAAUCAAAUUCCACUCACAAACACUUUGGUCAACCCAACUCUGUGGUAGGCAACAACACUUGCCCAGGGUAUCUCUCACAGUGCAAUCAAGCCUAAAACCAUGAAGGAAUUAGCAGCAGGGUCUUUAAUCCUACAGCCCUUAAUGUUUUGUAAUGUAUACACAUUCUGGGGGUCAACAAACUAAAGAUAAGUCCUAGGGUUAAUUUGAAUAAAAAGGGAGGGAGUUCAGUGUAAGCAGAUCCUACAGAGUAAAAAAAUCUUCAUCAUCAUAAAACUAAAUCUUGUGUCCUUUUUUUAUAAUACCAUUCCCAUCAAGAACACUGAACCAACCCCAAUACAUGGCUGGUACUUUAUUUUAUUGACCUUAGAAGGGGAAAUGGCAAAUUAGUCCUUGGAUAGAUUUCAGCUGAAAACAUAAAGAAAUGUAAAUAAUGCAGCAGGAAUUUUGUCUUCAGAAUAAUUCAGUCUCAAUCAUUGCUCCCCCCCUCCACCCAUUUUCUACAAAUCACCUCACUAAACAAUAAUACACUGAUACUCUCUCUCUUUCCCUCUCUUCCCCCCCUCUCUCUAUAUAUAUAUAUAUAUACACACACACACAUAUAUAAGAAAUAAUUGAGAUUCAGUUGAAUUAGGUACUUAAGUUGAACCAGCAAAUCAGUCCGGUUUUAUCUGCACAGCUUAAAGAUGAAUAGAAUAAAACUAAGCAAUGGCGUAUCAAGAAGUACGAUUGUUUCAAGCAACUCCAUUUAAUUGAAUUGAAUUCAAUUAAUUGGAGCCGCUUGAAACAGUCGUACUGCAUUACUACUUGAUACCCUGUUGCUUAGUUUGAUUAUAUACAUCAUCAUCAUCAUUUAACGUCUGUUUUCCAUGCUGGCAUGGGUUUGAACAGUUUGACUGAGUGGCUGCACCAGGCUCCAAUCUGAUCUGGCAAUGUUUCUACAUCUGGAUGCCCUUCCUAACACUCCGAGAGUGUGGUGGGUGCUUUUUACAUGCCACAGGUAUACUGUAGCCAUUCAAGCAGGCCUGGCAUCGACCAUGUUCAGUUGGUGCUUUUUAUGUGCCACUGGCAUGGGAGCCAGUCGGGUGGACCUGGCAUUGCCCACAUUCAGAUGAUGCAUUUUAUGUGCUACUGGAACGGGAACCAGCCAGGGGUCAGUGGCUACAGCUACGAUUUCAGUUCUACUUGACUUAACAGGUCUUCUCAAACAUAUAUCGCCCGACGCAUCAGGGGUACUUUUAAAUGGGCUGGACAUCUAACACUGGCAUUGGCCAUGGCUGCAAUGUCACUUUAGUUGCUGGGUCUUCUCAAUCACAGCAUAUAUCCAAAGGUCUCGGUCUCCUGUCAUUGCCUAUGUGAGGCCCAGUGUUCGAAGGUCAUUCUUCACCAUCUCGUCUCAUGUAUUCUUGGGUCUACUUCUUCCACAGUUAGGGUGUGGCACUUCCUCACACAACUUUCCUCAUCCAUACAUAACACGUGACUGUACCAGUGAUCUGUCCAAGUUCCGCAUAUAAUCCCUUGCCAGUCCUAACAUCUUCAAUACAUCCAACCAAUGGUUGGGUUCCCUAUAAUCAAAGCUAAUUUAUAACGAACUAUUCACGGAGGAGGAGGGAGGAAGUUAAAUAAAGGAUUGAGUUAGUUCUAAGACCAGAGACUGAAUAUCAAAGGUUGGGAACUUCCAAAGUUAAUUAGGGUGUCUUAAGGGAGCUGAGAAGGGUUCAAGAUUUAUUUAUUAAAGCUCAACAGUAAACUAGAGAAAUUAGGGUUGUUAUAGGGGUACAGUAUUCUUUUUUUCUUUAGGUAUCUGAAGGUGAAAUAGCUUAAUAGUAACUACUUUGGUGUGUUGUACUUUCGCGUUCAACAGUCGAUGGGGCCACUCUGGGACCAACAAAAUAAGUACCAGUCAUACUGGAAUAAAGUAUAUUAUUUUUUUUCUCUUUCAUUCAGAAUUUUGGAAAAGUGUUCCCUCGAGAGAAAUCAAUAUUUGGGGGAAGAUCUUUAGGGACCUUGUUGCACAGUGUGAGAGAAGUUACAGGGCCUACCUGAGAACCCUUUAAAACUACCUCUGGUCCAAGUCUUAGAGUGGUGCUGCAAGAUUUUUAACAAAGCUAGAAAUCUGUGAAGAACUGCUGUGUUUGUAGCAAUGGUAGAGGAGAGAGAGAGGGGGGGAGAAGAAAGUAAGAGUGGCUGUGGGGAGGUGAUGGGAGGGGAGUGGAAGAGCAAGAGGGAGAAGUGAUGCAUGGGAGAGACAAAGUCAGAGAGGAGGAGGAGGAGGAGGAGAAGGAGGAAGAGGAGGAAGCAAGUUUUUUUUGUAAAUCAAUAUCUGUGCAUACGCUCCAGUGGAUUAGUCAGGAAUAAGAUGUAUGAGGAUGUGCAGGGGAUCAAUAACUUGUGAGCAGAUUAGUAAUAGGAUAGUUUUCGUAUGGCAGCUGUGAGGAGGUGAGAAGCCACCAGCAUCGUCACUGGCUGUGAUUGUCUCUUCUCACUUUAGACAUAACCUGUUCAGUGACCAGCAUCAAUGAGAGGCUCUUGAUGUGGUCACCAGACCAGGUAGAAAUAACAGCCAUGUUCUCUAUAAAUAAUACUCUAUUCUCUUAUCAAAAAAAAAAAGGACAGACAUUGUAAAAUGUAAUCCUAGAUAUGCAAAUAGAUGGGAGGGUCACAUUUAGAGUGCCUUUGCUGAUAGGCCUGCUCAGUGAAGCUCAACCUUUGGCUAAAAAAAAUAUAUUUUUGGCUAAAAAAUAAAAACAAAAAAAUAUAUAUAUAUUUUUAUUACUGACAGCUAAAUACAA